CCAACAUGCCCAUUCCUUCAACUGUGAUUGGUUGGUCGACACGCAAGUAACUAAAAAUAGAAUAGGUAUUGCACCAUAAAAUACUGAGAAAAGACGAAGUUAAGACAUUAGAUAGACCGCACUAGAAACCAGAGGGAAAGCGUGAAAUUUCAGGGCUGGAUCAAGCAACCGACGGCCGCAUAGGCAAAGGAUUCCAUCAAGCUGAGUAAAUAUACAAGCUACAACAUCGGAGAGACAAGUAAAUCAAACAAGAUUUCAAACAACUUUAAUCUCGAGGAGGCGUCGGCAGGCCAUUUCAUGGACAUGCAGGGUGAAGAAAUUAGAUUGGUUCCCUCUGGGGAGUAUUUUCCGAAAGAUUUAAACGAACUGGUUGACUGGUUGGAGAUUAAGGAGGAUCUCAAAGAUGGCACAAAAAAUGUUGGACACUUCACACAACAUCGUACCGCAUUUGGACCAGAAGACCGGUGGCCUAUUUGACGAAGACCAGGCUAGUGACAAGUUCCAUGUUACUGGCAACGACACGGCAUCUGACCUUUUAUCAGCCAUUGAUAAUGGAUCAGAUAUUUUGAGUUUAAAUAAUUUCAACCCUUUAUUUGGAGAAAUGGAUCCUUUUGCCGAAGCUAGUCUUGACAGCUUUGUUGAUCUUUCUGCAUAUCUAAUGGAGGAGUCAAUCCCAGUUGCAGACGUAACGCCUGACACUGUUUCAGUGGACGAUGGCACUUCUGCAACAAAUAAACGUAAAUGGCAUGACGUUGAAGAGGUCGUGGAAAUUGACACCAACCCAGUGUUAACCACCACACCAGACCACGCCUACAGUGCCAAAAAGCCUAGAUUGACUUCUGCACCAGAUGCUUAUGAUACUGACCAGUCUUCCGAGGCCAGUUGUUCUAACCCAAAUAAAUAUCGCGUGCGUAGGGAAAAAAAUAACAUUGCUUCAAAAAGGUCUCGUGAAAUUAGGAAGAACAAGUUCACAGAAAUGGAAGACAAGGCUAAUGUCCUUGUGGUAGAAAAUGAAAAAAUGCGAGAAAAGAUUGUUGAGUUGGAGGCUCUUGCUAAAGAAAUGAAGGCGGUUUUAGUAGCCCGCUUGUCUGCCAAGUAAGGUAGUGGAAUAACACUACAGUAGGCCUAGGUAAAUACGCCAAAAUAUUUCAUUUUCUGCUGUAACGACAUUGGCAGUGGUUAGUUAAUGUAUUGUAUAUUAGUGCUAAUUGAUUAUAAAUCCUUGAAUUUUUGAUAUUUUGUUAAAAUAUUGUCUAAGAUUAAUAUUACAUGUAUAUCCAUGUAUAACCAAGCAUAGGGUACAAAUAAGUUGACCCAGAGAAAACAACUAAAAAUAUUACAAAAUAUAAAUACAAAAAAAAGAAAUAUAUCUUAUUUUGUAAUAUUAAAUAAAUGUUAUGCACAUGAAUAAACCCAUGUUAAAAUAUAGAUGCCAUCCUUUGAUAUUCGUGUACCGUUAUUUAAUAUAAUGUACAGGCAGCAAGGCUAAUCGUACAUUAUUUAUACUAGUUCAAAUAUUGGAUUAGCAUGACGAUUUCAUUGAAAUGCGCGUGCUGGAUAGUAUCUCUAUUUUAAGUUGUUUAAUGGUCUCGAGCAUGACAUUAGGCAAUGGCAAUAUAGCCUAUUGACACAACACUUGGGCGGACGUCCUCGUGCAAGUUCAAUAUGCUCCUGAUCAUUAAACCACACAUAUAAUAUAUAAUCUAUUUUGUUAAAUUAAUGAUUUGUUCAUUUCCUUUUAUUACCAUUUUACAUCGUUGUAUAGUCUCAUUAGCAUUUAGUAAAACCAACAAAAAAACCUUCAAAGUUUAGCAUUAGAAAAUUUACAAAAAUAAAGUGUAUUGUUUUAUUUUAGUGAUAUGAACUAAUGACUACUUUAGUUAUUACCAUUUUACAUCGUUGUAUAGUCUCAUUAGCAUUUAGUAAAACAAACAAAAAAACUUCAAAGUUUAGCAUUAGAAAAUUUACAAAAAUAGAGUAUAUUGUUUUAUUUUAGUGAUAUGAACUAAUGACUACUUUAGUUGCACGAAUUGACAAUGAUUAUUUGUUGUAAUAACAGACAGCUUUAUGGAUAACAUUCACUAGGUUUAUCAACAGCAAUGUUUCAAUGAGGAUACUCCCACCAUUAUCAAGCAAUGCCCUUUAAAGAUAAUAUUUGUUGUACAUCUUAUAACCACAUGUUUAUUGUCCAUAGAAUUUUGAUUGCUCAUAAACACUUCUAAUAAAAGUGGGAUUAUAGUUUGAUUUGUUUAGUAUAUGAAAUAAUGGUUUAAUAUGAUGCAUAUUGACUGCUUUAUAAUAUGUUCUGUUGUACUUAUUUAUAAGUGAUAUUUCACAGUUUAUGCCAGAUUAUACACUGGUAGAGAAAGACAACUUGUCAAUUAUUACUGUUAAUUGUUAGGGAAUUCUCAUACAUCUUGUAUAUAAAAUGAAAUUAUUUACAAAUUUUAUUGGAGUUAUUACUGGUACUGCACAUAUAUUUCCGUAUUGUAUAUUAAAUUAGAUUUAAUUAGGAUUAUUACUGGAACUGUUCAAAUCCUUAUUUACUAAAUUCACUGGAACAUAUUUGACCAGCUUUAUGCAAAGUUUCUUUUUUUUUUAUAAAAGUUAACUUCUAGAGGUUAUUGCUAUAUUUCAUAAUAAAUAUUUCAUAGCUUUUUUUUAAAAACCUCAUUAUAACCUGGGAAUAUCAUGAUGUAACUCUGAUAUACUCAGGUUAUGAGGGCAUAUAUUGUAUUAUAUAUGACGAAUGCCACAAUUUUGUAUCAUUUUAUAUUCUUGUUAGAUAUUAUUAAUAACCAUAUUUAUAUUAUAAUGAUUUUGUACUACAUAUGUUAACAAUGUACAAAUCUAAAAGUUGGCAUUAGCUUUUAAAACUAAAUACCGGUUAAAAAAUAUAAAAUGCCUAUAUGUAUAUUUAUUUGUUAUAUUUUUGUUGAUAUGAAUUUUUUUUUUAUGGAGUCAAUAAAUUGUCUUAAAUGUU
Long non-coding RNA from Patella vulgata (common limpet), 2983 nucleotides. RefSeq lists it as uncharacterized. The record is from RefSeq and is a predicted model, not a curated record. NCBI's taxonomy places the organism in Eukaryota, Metazoa, Mollusca, Gastropoda, Patellidae. The transcript has 4 exons.